Molecule: ribosomal RNA, 253 nt
Filed under: uncultured bacterium
Lineage: Bacteria
Description: partial 16S ribosomal RNA
Rfam family: Bacterial small subunit ribosomal RNA
Source: RNAcentral
UACAGAGGUCCCAAGCGUUGUUCGGAUUCACUGGGCGUAAAGGGUGCGCAGGUGGGUUUGCAAGUUCGAUGUGAAAGCCCCGGGCUUAACCCGGGAAUGGCAUUGGAUACUGCAGAUCUGGAGGAUCGGAGGGGGGACUGGAAUUCUUGGUGUAGCAGUGAAAUGCGUAGAUAUCAAGAGGAACACCAGUGGCGAAGGCGAGUCCCUGGACGAUACCUGACACUGAGGCACGAAAGCUAGGGGAGCAAACGGG